Long non-coding RNA from Pan troglodytes (chimpanzee), 3552 nucleotides. RefSeq lists it as uncharacterized. NCBI's taxonomy places the organism in Eukaryota, Metazoa, Chordata, Mammalia, Primates, Hominidae. The transcript is spliced from 2 exons. The record is from RefSeq and is a predicted model, not a curated record.
AUCCUUGGAGAGGCCCGGGCAAGGCAAGCACAUCACUCCGCACGCCUCGCACCCAGCCUUUGCUUGGCGAUGCGCCUCAGCCCUGGCCCAGGUACCCCGAACCCUGGGGUCUUUCUGGAUAUUGCCCUGCCUCGAGCCCAGAUGCUGGAAUCCUAAUACAGAAGCCAGAACCCAUCUCUCCGUCCAAAUCAAUGAUCAGCGGCCCCCCACAGCUAAUGUUCCUGGGCGCGGCUCGGAGAAGGCAGCUUCGCAGGCAGAACGCGCGCUCCUCGCUGCCCCAGGCGCCGCUGGUACGAACCCUCCCCUACCCAGGGCUCAUCCACAGUCCGGCACAUCGGCCCGCGACUCUGGGGCUGCCUCCGGGAACCUGGGCAGCGCCUGCCGGUUAGAAACCCGGGGUUAAGAAAAAAGCCAAGGUUCCUCCAUCCUGGGCCAGGCAGGUCUGCUCUCCCGGUCCUGCCUGCCUGCUGGCUUUCCCUUCCUCCUCCUUUGCGCCUGUUUUUCCCCCUCCUUCGCAGUCUCGCUCUUGUUCUUCCCUCUCUUAAGUCGCUUUUCCUCAAUCACACCGGGCCAACACCCUCCCCACCGCACGCCCCCCAAGACAGCCUGGGAUUCAAAAUGCAGUUGGAACACGGAUCACUUGAAAGAAAGCUCUUCAGCGGAAAGAAUUGGAAUGAAAUGAAAAGAAAGGGUGGAGGAGAGAGAGAGACCCCACCCGGAUAGUCCAGAACAAGCAGUAACAAAGCAAAGUCCGAGGGAGCUUCACGCUCAACCCCCGGCCAGGCUCCAGAGCUGAAGUUCUCCUAACUCAUCCUAAGAAUAGGUAAAAGAAACCAAGCUAGGGGCCAUGCCCUGCCCCCAUCCUGUGGGCCAGGUUGGGGGAGGGGGGGUUCUCCAGCGGCCAGAAGCUCACUGGCUCUACCCGGAACCCUGAGCUGCCUAGGGCUGGGGGAGGGGUCCGAGCAGUCGCGGAGCCUGCCAGACCCUCGGCUAGAAUGGGGACCCGCUGUCCAGCCAAGGCUGGCGGAGGCGCACUGGGGGCGCAGAGGGCGAUGCUAGUAGUCUGGACCCAAAGGACUGCAGGAAGGAGACCGUGAGGAAGUGUCUGUGACUGGGAAGCCCCAGCUCCUGCUUGGGCCAGGCAGCCAGCACCUACCUGAUCCCGGGGAACCGGAGUCCGGCGGCGGCAGGUGAGCUGUAGACGCUGCUAUGCAUGAUUAUCCCAUAGACCAGCAGGGCCAGCCUCGCUCCGCUACACAUGGUCAUUCUGCGCAGAUGGGAAAGAGGACACACAGCUGUGAGAACGCCCCUGGCCUUCCACCCUCCAACCCCAAAAAACUCUCAAAGCUGGGGGAGGGACGGAGCGAAGCCCCGGCUCCCUGUGUUGAACACCACUUAGCGACAGCCGGUGCGCGCCCUGCCACUUCUUGCUUGCUAUAGUUAGAAAAAAAUAUAUAUGCAUAUACCCGGCGCCCAAUAACUAGCCAGACCUGGUUGAAGGAAAGCUAACUACCCUGACGCGAUGCCAAGCGAAAGAAUCAGCAGUCGAGUGAGUCGGUCGGUUUGGUAAGAUUUUCUUUCGCUUACCCUUCAACUCUUACCGCUGUCAGGAGAGGGUGUGCUGCCAAGUAGGACGGCGGGCAAAGGGCUUCUUCAAGUUUCUGCGCUGGAGUCACAACCUGAGAGGAAUCACUGUCUGGCGUUGGUGUCUGAGCAGAAGCCGCAGGAACGAGCAGGAGCAGCAGGAGGAGCUGCAGGACUUGUUUGCCGAGGCUCGUGUUCUGUUCAAAAGUUUGUAGACGCGCAGAACUAGGAGGGAGCGUGACACGGAGAGAAGGGGGCGAAGAGAGAGAGACAGAAGAAAGAAAGAGGGGGCGAUGAGUCACGUAAUGAUCGGGUAUCAGAAAAAGACGUCAGCAUCCUAGUCCCUCAAGGAACAUAUUAACUAUUCUGUGCUGUCCUCUUGGAUGAUAAGAUCCGGAGUCAUCGACUUCUCAUAAACACCUUUCACUCAUACAAUCCAAUUUUUAAGAAGUCCAAUUAUUUUGAUGGUUUUCAAUUUCACCCAUUUCUCAAGGACAGGUAAAGAAUUUUUAGAAUUUUGAGGAUGACAAAAGUUAUGUUUUUAACUAUAUAAUUACGAUUUCUCUUUACUUUUUCAUCAAGCCCCACCAAUCAGAGCUCUGGUCUCUGGAAUUAAGCAUCAUCAAGCUCUCCUAUUAAUAAAUUUAAUUUAGAUCUCCUAAUUUCUUGCGUAUGUUCUUUCAGAUAGACCAUUAAAUGUGGAAGUCGUUUUGUUUUUAAAGGGAAGUCUUGGAGGAUUUUCAGUAAAUCUCUCCUGAGUCUGGCUGCCGUUGACAGUAGGGCUAUGAGUAGAUUGAUGAGAGCUCAUGCUGCCUCCGGAGCGCGGCCUGCGGAGCUGUCCAGACUCCGGGUGCUGAAGUGUAGGGUAACAGAUGCUACAAACGUUGAAAAUUGCCACCGGUUUAAUUUUUCACCAGAGCCUCUAAAUUUGAAGAUUUGGCAGUAGUGCUAUUAACGUGGCGAUUCAUUGCCUAAAUCACCCCCACCGUUCAGAUACAUCCUUUCCCCCUUGUAGCGUCCAUAAAUGCCCUAAUGCUGAGAAUGCUCCCCAUCCCUGCCUGGAUUUGAGGAAAAAGCAUUCUGUCCCCCGUUAGUCCUGGCUUUUGGAUUUCUAGACCGGCUGUUUGGCUACUUUCACACCUUCUGUGGCUCUUACAGAUUUUAAAAAUUGAUGUUGUGAAAUUGUGUUUUCCACAAGAAGUGAAAUUUUAAGAAUUUUGGGGCGAGAAAUAUGUUUUUCCACUUUGUUUACAACUUCAGCUCUGUUUGGGAGACACAGACAGACUGGGAAAGCAUGAGGGUUCCCAGUACAAGUUCACCUGAUGAAGGUUUCUAACAGGAAUCCCUCUGCUGGAAACAGUUAAUUUUUUUAACUGAAAAUGAUGUGGGAAGAGGAAAGCAAUAAGGGAAGACCAUAUCCACCCAGAGGCUUCCAAUUUCCUGGGUAAUUGAAGAAGGUUCAUAUAUUUCUACUCCAGUAAGAGAACUCGGGUCUAUUUCUUUAAAAAAAAAAAAAAUAAGAAGAAGAAGAAGAAGAAGAAGAAGAAGAAGAAGAAGAAGAAGAAGAAGAAGAAGAAGAAAAGAAAGAAAGAAAGAAAGAAAGAAAGAAAGAAAGAAAGAAAGAAAAUAGAGCCAUCAAUAACCAUUAGAGUGCAUUUUAAUUAUUUGGAUCUUACACAAAAAUUAGGGGAAAUUCCAGUUUAGUGGGAGGGUUUCCUGUUACUACGAUUUGGAUCUCACAUUUAAAUAAGCUAUAUUAGUUCUGCAUGCUUUUUCCAAGAUAUUAUGUUUCUCCUCCUAAAUGCUGUUCCUGCUCUUAUUUGAGAUUUAAUACUUCCUCCUUCUUAAAAAAAAAAAACUAAGUUUUGUUUAUUCCUGGCCAUGAAUGACCGAAAACUGUCUGCUUCCUCUUAGUUUAUUCCUGGCCGUGCUUCAGAUUGUCUGCUUUCAAUAAAGCUUCAAACCACA